GCGGCUAUAGUUCAGUGGCAGAACGCCGGUCUGUGGCACCGGAUGUCGUGGGUUCGACCCCCACUAGCCGCCCCA
RNAcentral lists this transfer RNA (75 nucleotides) under Acidobacteriota bacterium. RNAcentral's name for it is "tRNA-His". It matches the Rfam family "tRNA". Rfam says of the family: Transfer RNA (tRNA) molecules are approximately 80 nucleotides in length. Their secondary structure includes four short double-helical elements and three loops (D, anti-codon, and T loops). RNAcentral also lists the same sequence under 4 other names. Lineage: Bacteria; Pseudomonadati; Acidobacteriota. The record is from RNAcentral.